ACUCAAAGGAAUAGACGGGUGCCCGCACAAGCGGUGGAGCAUGUGGCUUAAUUCGAGGCAACGCGAAGAACCUUACCUGGGCUUGACAUGCACCGGACAGCCGUGGAAACACGGUCUCCCGCAAGGGUCGGUGCACAGGUGCUGCAUGGCUGUCGUCAGCUCGUGCCGUGAGGUGUUCGGUUAAGUCCGGCAACGAGCGCAACCCAUGUCAUUAGUUGCCAGCAGGUAAUGCUGGGCACUCUAAUGAGACUGCCCGUGUUAAGCGGGAGGAAGGCGUGGAUGACGUCAAGUCCGUAUGGCCUUUAUGCCCAGGGCUGCACACGUGCUACAAUGGACGGUACAGAGGGAAGCAAUGUCGCGAGACGGAGCAAAUCCACAAAACCGUCCCUAGUUCAGAUUGCAGUCUGCAACUCGACUGCAUGAAGCCGGAAUCGCUAGUAAAGGCGUAUCAGCCACGACGCCUUGAAUACGUUCCCGGGCGUUGCACACACCGCCCGU
Molecule: ribosomal RNA, 498 nt
Filed under: uncultured bacterium
Lineage: Bacteria
Description: bacterial SSU rRNA
Rfam family: Bacterial small subunit ribosomal RNA
Source: RNAcentral